AGAUGUGGUUCUGACAUCUGUCACCCUAUUGAUUGUCAGGACUAAUCCUCCCGAGCUGGCUGACAAGGUGAGUGUCUUACCCUAUUCUGUGUUCGUUGCAGAAAACAGGUGCUCAGAGAAUGUGUUUUCCAGGUGGGAACUGUUCCUUUAGUCAAGGGUGUAUAAGUUGUUUCUCUUGUUAUAAUCUCUAAACAAACUAUUAAGUUCGUUACUUACUUUAUUACACAUUCCACUGUAAGAAACAUCUUUGUGCAUGUAGCUUUUUA
This 266-nucleotide small nuclear RNA is filed under the name Callithrix jacchus (white-tufted-ear marmoset). Its description in RNAcentral is "7SK RNA". It matches the Rfam family "7SK RNA". Rfam says of the family: 7SK was discovered as an abundant small nuclear RNA in the mid-70s but a possible function has only recently been suggested. Two independent studies have found that 7SK RNA binds the CDK9/cyclin T complex (known as elongation factor P-TEFb). The record is from Rfam by way of RNAcentral. Lineage: Eukaryota; Metazoa; Chordata; Mammalia; Primates; Cebidae.